AGAGUUUGAUCCUGGCUCAGAAUGAACGUUGGCGGCGUGGAUUAGGCAUGCAAGUCGAGCGAGAAAUCCCUUUCGGGGGAUGGACAGCGGCUAACGGGGUAGUAAUACGUAGGUGACGUACCCUAAGGACCGGGAUAGCCGCGGGAAACCGCGGGUAAUACCGGAUGAUCUCUUCGGACGUGGUAGUCUGAUGAGCAAAUGGUGUGAUUCCGCCUUUGGAGCGGCUUACGCGGUACUAGGUAGUUGGUGAGGUAACGGCUCACCAAGCCUAAGAUGCCUAGGGGGUGUGAGAGCAUGGCCCCCACCACUGGGACUGAGACACUGCCCAGACACCUACGGGUGGCUGCAGUCGAGAAUCUUCGGCAAUGGGCGCAAGCCUGACCGAGCGACGCCGCGUGCGGGAUGAAGGCCCUUGGGUUGUAAACCGCUGUCAGAGGGGAUGAAAUUCUUGGUGGCAAUCCACCAUGAUGACAGAGCCUCAGAGAG
This 486-nucleotide ribosomal RNA is filed under the name uncultured Planctomyces sp. Its description in RNAcentral is "bacterial SSU rRNA". It matches the Rfam family "Bacterial small subunit ribosomal RNA", at positions 8 to 488 of the family's 1533-position model. Lineage: Bacteria; Pseudomonadati; Planctomycetota; Planctomycetia; Planctomycetales; Planctomycetaceae. The record is from RNAcentral.